UACGUAGGGGGCAAGCGUUGUCCGGAAUCAUUGGGCGUAAAGCGCGCGUAGGCGGCCCGGUAAGUCCGCUCUGAAAGUCCAGGGCUUAACCCUGGAAAGCGGGUGGAUACUGCCGGGCUUGAAUCCGGAAGAGGCGAGUGGAAUUCCUGGUGUAGCGGUGAAAUGCGCAGAUAUCAGGAGGAACACCGGUGGCGAAGGCGGGAUCUCUGGGCCAUUACUGACGUGAGGAGCGAAAGCGUGGGGAGCGAACAGG
This 253-nucleotide ribosomal RNA is filed under the name uncultured bacterium. RNAcentral describes it as "partial 16S ribosomal RNA". It matches the Rfam family "Bacterial small subunit ribosomal RNA", at positions 524 to 776 of the family's 1533-position model. The record is from RNAcentral.